RNAcentral lists this ribosomal RNA (422 nucleotides) under uncultured bacterium. RNAcentral describes it as "bacterial SSU rRNA". It matches the Rfam family "Bacterial small subunit ribosomal RNA", at positions 88 to 507 of the family's 1533-position model. The record is from RNAcentral.
AUGGCGAGUGGCGAACGGGUGAGUAAAGCAUCGGAACGUACCGUGUAGUGGGGAUAACGUAGCGAAAGUUACGCUAAUACCGCAUACGCACUGAGGUGGAAAGCAGGGGAUCGCAAGACCUUGCGCUAUACGAGCGGCCGAUGUCAGAUUAGCUAGUUGGUAGGGUAAAGGCCUACCAAGGCGACGAUCUGUAGCGGGUCUGAGAGGAUGAUCCGCCACACUGGGACUGAGACACGGCCCAGACUCCUACGGAGGCAGCAGUGGGGAAUUUUGGACAAUGGGGGAAACCCUGAUCCAGCCAUGCCGCGUGAGGUGAAGAAGGCCUUCGGGUUGUAAAGCUCUUUCGGCUGGGAAGAAAUCGCACAGGCUAAUACUCUGUGUGGAUGACGGUACCAGCAUAAGAAGCACCGGCUAACUACAUG